This 72-nucleotide transfer RNA is filed under the name Ovis aries (sheep). It matches the Rfam family "tRNA". From Rfam's summary of the family: Transfer RNA (tRNA) molecules are approximately 80 nucleotides in length. The record is from Rfam by way of RNAcentral. Lineage: Eukaryota; Metazoa; Chordata; Mammalia; Artiodactyla; Bovidae.
UCCCUCAUAGCUCAGUUGGUAAAGAAUCUGCCUGCAAUGCAGGAGAUCCCAGUUUGAUUCCUGGGUAGGGAA